Camelina sativa (false flax) is the source of this 615-nucleotide long non-coding RNA. RefSeq lists it as uncharacterized. The record is from RefSeq and is a predicted model, not a curated record. Lineage: Eukaryota; Viridiplantae; Streptophyta; Magnoliopsida; Brassicales; Brassicaceae.
AAUUAAGUUGGAAAAAAAAAUGAGGAGAGCUCAGGAGGGUGGCUUGUACAUCUGAGAAAUCAGAAGAAUGCGAAGGACACAACCAACGCGGAUGCCAAAUUCAUCACAGCUCAUGCACCAGCCGGGAAUCGAACCCGGGUCUGUACCGUGGCAGGAACGCAAACUUGCUUUUCAAAGUCUUGAAUCAUAACUAAGUUGAAAAAAAAAAGAAAAGGAGAGAGAGCUCAGGGGUGUGGCGAGUACAUCUGGGAAAUCAGAAGAUUGCGAAGGACCCAACCAACGCUGAAGCCAAUAUCAUCACAGCUCAUACACCAGUCGGGAAUCGAACCCGGAUCUGUACCGUUUGCAGGAAAACGACGAGGCAGCUCGAUACAGGGGACAGAGAUGCCCAGCCAUGUAUAUCGUUGGAAAGUCUAGUACUGUAUGUGUAUGUGUGUGUAUGUGCAUGUUUUGUUAGGUUAUUUAUUGGAAGGUUUGGAAGGAACAUAGGUUUUGUACAACUUUUACCAAAAUUUCUCGACGACAACAUCAUCGACAAGCUCGACAAAUAUAAUCUAACAUAACAGUAGUAGAAAACUAGAAAACCUGACAAAACUAGUUUUACAAACAAUAACA